Molecule: ribosomal RNA, 26 nt
Filed under: Keteleeria fortunei
Lineage: Eukaryota; Viridiplantae; Streptophyta; Pinopsida; Pinales; Pinaceae
Description: partial 26S ribosomal RNA
Source: RNAcentral
GCGACCCCAGCUCAAGCGAGAACACC